AAAACGACUCUCGGCAACGGAUAUCUCGGCUCUCGAUCGAUGAAGAACGUAGCGAAAUGCGAUACUUGGUGUGAAUUGCAGAAUCCCGUGAACCAUCGAGUCUUUGAACGCAAGUUGCGCCCCAAGCCUUCUCGGGGCCGAGGGCACGUCUGCCUGGGUGUCACAA
RNAcentral lists this ribosomal RNA (166 nucleotides) under Arabidopsis thaliana (thale cress). Its description in RNAcentral is "5.8S ribosomal RNA". It matches the Rfam family "5.8S ribosomal RNA". Rfam says of the family: 5.8S ribosomal RNA (5.8S rRNA) is a component of the large subunit of the eukaryotic ribosome. It is transcribed by RNA polymerase I as part of the 45S precursor that also contains 18S and 28S rRNA. Lineage: Eukaryota; Viridiplantae; Streptophyta; Magnoliopsida; Brassicales; Brassicaceae. The record is from RNAcentral.